GGUAGCAUAAUCAUUAGUUUUUUAAUUGAAAGCUGGAAUGAAUGGUUUGAUGAGAAAUAAGCUGCCUCUUUAUAAAUUUUUUAUAAUUUUAAUUUUAAGUGAAAAAGCUUAAAUUUAAUAAAAAGACGAGAAGACCCUAUAGAGUUUUAUUAUUAAAUGGUUAAGGUUUCUUUGGAAUUAAUAAUUCUUUAUUUGUUUAAUAAUUUUGUUGGGGUGAUAUAAAAAUUNAAUAAACUUUUUAUUUAUUUUAACAUUCAUGUAUGAAUUUUUGAUCCUUUAUUUAGGAUUAUCAGAUAAAAUUACCUUAGGGAUAACAGCGUAAUUUUUUUGGAAAGUUCUUAUUAAUAAAAAAGUUUGCGACCUCGAUGUUGGAUUAAAAUUUAUUUUCGGUGC
This 393-nucleotide ribosomal RNA is filed under the name Isopteron sp. GJK-2014. RNAcentral describes it as "partial 16S ribosomal RNA". Lineage: Eukaryota; Metazoa; Arthropoda; Insecta; Coleoptera; Tenebrionidae. The record is from RNAcentral.